Salmo salar (Atlantic salmon) is the source of this 889-nucleotide non-coding RNA. NCBI's taxonomy places the organism in Eukaryota, Metazoa, Chordata, Actinopteri, Salmoniformes, Salmonidae. The record is from RefSeq and is a predicted model, not a curated record.
GUCAACAGUCAACAGGUCAACAUUCUAAUAGUCAACAUUCUAUCAGUCAACAGGUCAACACUCUUAUAGUCAACAGGUUAACACUCUUAUAGUCAACAGGUCAACAGGUCAACAUUCUUAUAGUCAACAGGUCAACAGGUCAACAGGUCAACAUUCUUAUAGUCAACAGGUCAACAGGUCAACACUCUUAUAGUCAACAGGUCAACAGGUCAACAUUCUUAUAGUCAACAGGUCAACAGGUCAACACUCUUAUAGUCAACAGGUCAACACUCUUAUAGUCAACAGGUCAACAGGUCAACAGGUCAACACUCUUAUAGUCAACAGGUCAACAGGUCAACACUCUUAUAGUCAACAGGUCAACAGGUCAACACUCUUAUAGUCAACAGGUCAACAGGUCAACAUUCUUAUAGUCAACAGGUCAACAGGUCAACAUUCUUAUAGUCAACAGGUCAACAGGUCAACAUUCUUAUAGUCAACAGGUCAACAGGUCAACAUUCUUAUUGUCAACAGGUCAACAGGUCAACAUUCUAUCAGUCAACAGGUGAUCUCAGUACUAAUACAUUAUCACAGCCCUCUGUGGAUCACCACACAUACAGUUAUACACCUGCAUGUGAAUUACACACACACACACACACACACACACACACACACACACACCGCUGUGGUAACACACUCCAGGAGCCACGCCUAACACAGUACUAGUCAGUAAGGGCGUUACUCAACAUGGAGAGGGUGUGUAUGAGUUAGCCUGCGUGUGUGUGUGUGUCUUAUUCUAGACCUGUCUGACAUCACUCGAGGUUUUACUCUUCCAGAGAAAAAUAAAUAAUAUGAACAUAUUUCCUAAAAAUAACUAUGAUAUUCUAACCUGCGGAAGAAAAAAAAAAAAACA